AAAAGAAAGGAUGAUUUAAUAAGACGAAACAAGGAAGACAAAAGUUUAUUGCGUCAGACAUUUGGUGUUGUCGCUUGCUCUUGCUUGCAAUUAAUAACCGGGUGUUAAAAAUGGAGCGUGACUUCAAACUCUAACUUAUCCGUCUUGGUGGGAGAAUUGGUAACGAUUUUUCUAUAUUCGAUACUACAAAACAGGAUGCAAGAAUCUGUAACCGAAAUGUGAAAUUACUGCAUUUAAUGGAAAUGUUCGAUGUCAAUUUGAUUUCAUUCUUGAAAAAAGAUAUCCCGGAAGGAAAUAAAAAACAAAAAGGUAAUUUAAAAUUUUUACUUUGAAAUUGUCACUUCACCAUUUUUCUUCUGAUUGACAUAAUAUAUUUAACCGUAAAAAAUGAAAUUUAAAUUUUUUUUAUUAUUAACGAGCAAUUACUUAUUGUGACAUAGUCACAAUGCCGGGCUACAAUUUUUAAUUAAUUUAAUUUAAAAUAUAUGCUCUUUACCUAAAAUUAGCAUUGCAGUGACUUGCCCCUGUACAUCAUACUUUUCCUGGUAGCAACGGAGUC
Molecule: long non-coding RNA, 559 nt
Organism: Centruroides sculpturatus (bark scorpion)
Lineage: Eukaryota; Metazoa; Arthropoda; Arachnida; Scorpiones; Buthidae
Exons: 3
Source: RefSeq, a predicted model, not a curated record